GCAGGCCGGCGGCUCAUUUCUGCAGGCCUCAACUCACCCCGCAACUUUUAUUUUCCUCCUGUGCCGCUGACACUUGGGGCCCGCCAGGUCGUCUAUUUCCUCAAGACGAACUCCUGUUCGUUCAUGAGUUCUUCUUGCCGAUCCAAAUCCUCGCCGAUUCUGCCAAGUCUUUGCCCCUAGGCCACGGAAUCCACUCUAUAUAUAUUACCCAUCUUCUUCUCUUCCGACUUUUGGCAAAAUUUUGUCUUCCCGUGCCCGUUUCGCCCGGAUCCGAUCUCGCCGGAGUUCGCCGCUGCAGGAGCAUCUCGCCGGUUGAUUCUAUCGCCUCUGAAGGGGAGCACGGAAACGAGCGGUGCAACCUCGACCAGAAGCUUACCUAGUCUGGCCGCGACUCCAGCCGCACUUCAUCGCCACCAGAAAUCGUCCUCGACGCCGAGCAGGACCCAUCCGAGGCCUUCGUGUCACUCCGCGUCCGACGAGCACCUCCCCGAGGCCAUCUGACCUCUGUAUCCGUCGCCCGCAUCUCCACCGAGGCGCCCCGCGCCGUUCUUCUCCAACUCCGGCAGGCGUAUUCUGCUCUUUUCGAUUGUCCAGAGUGUGAAGCGGAUCAGAAUUGAGCGUUAUAAUACUUCAACACCGUUCAAGGCAAGUUUGCACUUUGAUUUUGCUUAUCCUAUAUUCUGCUAUGCAAGUGUGGUUUUUAUGCUAUGAUAUAUGUUUGGCCUGGCCGUGUUGUCAUGUUUUGGUAUUGAUUGUAUUAUGUGUUGGUGUGAUCAACUUGCUAUGGUAGACGUGGGCAUGUGUCGAGUGAUGCAUGGAAGUGGUGAGCGCUUAUAGCUGUAGGCUCGGGACUUUUUCUCACGUGAAUGCGUCACUGGUUGAGCGCUCUAUUGUCCCUAGAGAAUGCACCAUGACUGAGCGCACUUGAGUUGUCGGGGCUUUUUCUCACGUGAAUGCGUCACUGGCUGAGCGCUCUAUUGUCCCUAGAGAAUGCGCCAGGACUGAGCGCACUUGAGACAUCUUGAAGAUCUUUAUCAUCUAUGUUGUUUGCACCUUGCCUGUGUCGUGGAGGUAGGUGAAAGUAGUUUUACGGGAAACCAAACUUGAGUGUUUUAUUUGUCAUACCUUGCUUGUGGAUGUAGGUUUGCUAUAUCAUUAUGUGUGAUUUGCCAAUACAUUCAAUGUAUUGACCCUUGUGGCUGCAACGAAUCAUGUUGCAGGAUUUUCAGAUGACCAGUGAGACACAGUAGGGUCGCGAGUCUUCACUCAGCAUUUUCGCCAGUGGGCAUUGAUGGGAUUCCUCGUCUAUUAUGCUAUUUUUUCCGCUGUUGUUAUUGAAUAAAGUUAGCUAUGUGCUACUCAGUUUGUAAUACUUUAUGAAUUCUGGAUCAUACGUUAUAGUAAAUGAUACACUUGUUAUUUGAUAUUCAUAUGUACUGUGUGUGCUAGCGAGUCGAUCUAGGGACUAGCACAGUGAGCACAGAGACAUCGAGUCUUAUCAG
Aegilops tauschii subsp. strangulata is the source of this 1502-nucleotide long non-coding RNA. RefSeq lists it as uncharacterized. The record is from RefSeq and is a predicted model, not a curated record. Lineage: Eukaryota; Viridiplantae; Streptophyta; Magnoliopsida; Poales; Poaceae.